UGGGGAAUAUUGCACAAUGGGCGCAAGCCUGAUGCAGCCAUGCCGCGUGUGUGAAGAAGGCCUUCGGGUUGUAAAGCACUUUCAGCGAGGAGGAAGGUGGUGAACUUAAUACGUUCAUCAAUUGACGUUACUCGCAGAAGAAGCACCGGCUAACUCCGUGCCAGCAGCCGCGGUAAUACGGAGGGUGCAAGCGUUAAUCGGAAUUACUGGGCGUAAAGCGCACGCAGGCGGUUUGUUAAGUCAGAUGCGAAAUCCCCGGGCUCAACCUGGGAACUGAAUUUGAAACUGGCAAGCUAGAGUCUCGUAGAGGGGGGUAGAAUUCCAGGUGUAGCGGUGAAAUGCGUAGAGAUCUGGAGGAAUACCGGUGGCGAAGGCGGCCCCCUGGACGAAGGCUGACGCUCAGGUGCGAAAGCGUGGGGAGCAAACA
Molecule: ribosomal RNA, 427 nt
Filed under: uncultured Serratia sp.
Lineage: Bacteria; Pseudomonadati; Pseudomonadota; Gammaproteobacteria; Enterobacterales; Yersiniaceae
Description: bacterial SSU rRNA
Rfam family: Bacterial small subunit ribosomal RNA
Source: RNAcentral